This 299-nucleotide ribosomal RNA is filed under the name uncultured Lautropia sp. RNAcentral describes it as "partial 16S ribosomal RNA". It matches the Rfam family "Bacterial small subunit ribosomal RNA", at positions 8 to 309 of the family's 1533-position model. The record is from RNAcentral. Lineage: Bacteria; Pseudomonadati; Pseudomonadota; Betaproteobacteria; Burkholderiales; Burkholderiaceae.
AGAGUUUGAUCCUGGCUCAGAUUGAACGCUGGCGGCAUGCUUUACACAUGCAAGUCGAACGGCAGCGCGGGCUUCGGCCUGGCGGCGAGUGGCGAACGGGUGAGUAAUACAUUGGAACGUGCCCAGUAGUGGGGGAUAGCUCGGCGAAAGCCGGAUUAAUACCGCAUACGACCUGAGGGUGAAAGCGGGGGAUCUUCGGACCUCGCGCUAUUGGAGCGGCCGAUGGCAGAUUAGCUAGUUGGUGGGGUAAAGGCCUACCAAGGCGACGAUCUGUAGCUGGUCUGAGAGGACGACCAGCC